AGGAUUAUGAUUACCCUUUUAGGAAACUAAGUAGCCCGGAGUAAAGUAAAAAGAUAGCCAGGAGGAACGUAUUAUAUGCAAGAACUAGGAAAGAUUACAUGGAGGUAAAUGGAAUCAAAACAAUUUGUAAUAGACGACGUGGAGGAGAAAGCGGAGGAAAAGCAGAAGAAAGAGUAGUGGGAGGAGAAAGAAAGGAGGAAGAGGAAGAGAGGGAGGGAGAGCUGGAGAGGUAUAAAAGUGGCCCCUGAUCGCAAGCACUACACAUUCCGUUACACUACGCCAAAGGUUUUACUUCUUGUCUUCGAUCCAACAAUGAUGUUGCGUCUCCGGUGCUUGGCGGUGGGGCUGGCAGCGCUGGUGGUGCUCCAGGCGUGUGUGACCUAUGCAGCUCCUUCCCCACAGUUGUCUGAUGCUGGAUAUGGUGGCGAUGAUGACGUCUAUGGGGAUGGUGACGAUGGCAGAUAUGGAGGUGAAGGCCAUGGCGGUGAUGAGGGUUAUAAAGGUGAUGAUGGAUAUGGUGGUGAGGAUGGUUAUGGUGUUGAUGAUGGUUAUAAAGGUGAUGGUGGCUAUGGUGGUGGUGAUGGUUAUAAAGGUAAUGAGGGUUAUGGUGGUGGUGAUGGUUAUAAUGGUGAUGAUGGCUAUGGUGGUGAUGAUAGCCAUGGUGGUGAAGGUUAUCGAGGUGAUGAUGGUUUUGAGGGCGGUGAAUAUGGUGGAAGUGAUGGAAGAUAUGGUGGUCAAAAGAGAUAGGAUGGGAAUGGUAGUAACUUAAAAGAUAAUCGCAGUUUAACACAUGCAUAUCACCAUACUAUGCCAAAUUACCAUAAAACACCAUGCUGUCAUGCCAGGUUUGUUCAUUAUUACCUCAAAAUCACCUCAUCUUUAAUUUGAAGUGCUAAAAAAAAGUAAAUGCUGUUGUUUAUACUAGUUAAAUGGGACCUGUUUUGUUUUUACCUUUACACGAAAUAUAUAUAUAUAUUAAAAGAAACA
Long non-coding RNA from Eriocheir sinensis (Chinese mitten crab), 987 nucleotides. RefSeq lists it as uncharacterized. The transcript is spliced from 2 exons. The record is from RefSeq and is a predicted model, not a curated record. NCBI's taxonomy places the organism in Eukaryota, Metazoa, Arthropoda, Malacostraca, Decapoda, Varunidae.